GUGAGGAAUUUUCCGCAAUGGGCGAAAGCCUGACGGAGCAAUGCCGCGUGAAGGAUGAUGGCCUAUGGGUUGUAAACUUCUUUUCUCAGAAAAGAAUUAUGACGGUAUCUGAGGAAUAAGCAUCGGCUAACUCUGUGCCAGCAGCCGCGGUAAGACAGAGGAUGCAAGCGUUAUCCGGAAUGAUUGGGCGUAAAGCGUCUGUAGGUUGUUUAAAAAGUAUUCUGUCAAAGAUUAGGGCUUAACCCUAGAUAGGCAGAAUAAACUUUUAAGCUAGAAUUUGGUAGAGGCAGAGGGAAUUCCCGGUGGAGCGGUGAAAUGCGUAGAUAUCGGGAGGAACACCAAAGGCGAAGGCACUCUGCUGGGCCAAUACUAACACUGAGAGACGAAAGCGAGGGGAGCAAAUGGGAUUAGAAACCCCGGUAGUCC
RNAcentral lists this ribosomal RNA (426 nucleotides) under uncultured bacterium. Its description in RNAcentral is "partial 16S ribosomal RNA". It matches the Rfam family "Bacterial small subunit ribosomal RNA", at positions 354 to 796 of the family's 1533-position model. The record is from RNAcentral.